This 235-nucleotide ribosomal RNA is filed under the name uncultured bacterium. Its description in RNAcentral is "partial 16S ribosomal RNA". It matches the Rfam family "Bacterial small subunit ribosomal RNA", at positions 976 to 1213 of the family's 1533-position model. The record is from RNAcentral.
UGGCCUUGACAUAGUAGAGACUUUCCAGAGAUGGAAAGGUGCCUUCGGGAAUCUACAUACAGGUGCUGCAUGGCUGUCGUCAGCUCGUGUCGUGAGAUGUUGGGUUAAGUCCCGCAACGAGCGCAACCCUUUUCCUUACUUGCCAGCAUUUCGGAUGGGAACUUUAAGGAUACUGCCAGUGACAAACUGGAGGAAGGCGGGGACACGUCAAGUCAUCAUGGCCCUUAGGCCAGGG